Ictalurus punctatus (channel catfish) is the source of this 2556-nucleotide long non-coding RNA. Lineage: Eukaryota; Metazoa; Chordata; Actinopteri; Siluriformes; Ictaluridae. The record is from Ensembl.
GAGAGAGAGAGAGAGAGAGAGAGAGAGAGAGAGAGAGAGAGAGAGAGAGAGAGAGAGGUGAUAUAACUGGACAAAAGCAAUUACUGAAGUAAUAAACAAUACAAUUUAGCGGUAGCCAUCGCGGACAAGAUCACGUUGUGGUUCGAGUGGCCUCGGGAAAUGGAAGGCAAUUAAAAAUAUUAAUGAAAAGCCGCCAUUAAGUCUUAGCGGCCGUGGCGUUUAUUAUUUUUGAUCUUUGCUCGUUUUGUUCUCGGAUAAUCCGUCCCAUAUUUGAAUUCUUUCCGGAAUGAGUCAGACUGGAGGCUUCUCUGGUCUGGUGCAGUUCGUUUCCGGCGUUAUGCAAAAACACUUCCAUGCGAAUGAACCGAUAGUUUGUUUGAGAAACGCCUCUGAGAAUGGCAUUCGAUUAAGCGGUGGAUCAAAUACAUUUUCCAUGAGGCACUAACACGUUCGUCGUUAUGACGAUGAGUCCUGAUGAGAUGAUUUGACUCUGUGGCACAUCGGCGUCCGAAUGAAAGCAACAAAAAUAAACUUGUAUAACUGGCACCAAGCUUUUGGCAUUUCUCAAGCAAGAUUUGCUAAUCUGACUUCCCGCAGAUCAUCGGUCCUCGUUUCAGCCGUUUCCCCAGCCUUCAUCUCUGCACCUGAUCCCACGUUGACCUUCAAGCUUAGGGAGAUAAGGCUACUGACUCAGAGCUCCCAAAGCUCACUGAGCACGCUCCCCUGACAGCCAAUCAGACCAACAACUUUGUGUAAGUGCGGGGGAAAAAAAAAAGCUGUGGAAGAAAAUAGUUUUGAUUACAAUGCACUUGGCAGUGGCGGACGGAUGCAGGUCUACAGAGACGCAGACGAGUGUUACUGAAUACUUGGCCACCGUUCUGUCUGAUAUCCAUAAAUUAUUAACUGCUGUGGUCAUUUGCAGUGAUUAACCUCAAUAAUUCAUCUAGUUGUGUAAUUGAAAGAAUCGAAAGGCUUGAAUGAAAGCCUUCCAGGGGAUCACAGACCCAUAUUUGUUUCGUGUUUUUUAAAAACACCGAUGACAAAUUGGAGGAACCGGUCCCCCUGAUCGAUGGUACAAUGGCCCACCAGCUGGUCCGCCACCGUACGAGGGUGCUAGGAUUAUUAAUAAACAAAGGCAACCUGUAGGUGUGGGAAGAAGGGAGGGAGGGGGCGGGUGUUCCUGCCAGCUGGCUCAGUCACUUUCCAACCUCGUACCCACUCCUCCGCGAGAAAACCAUCCAGCACCUGCCAGCCGGCUGACAAAUGAAAGCCUGCGUUCACAAAUUCCACACGUGUCCUUGCGCCGGACUGAAUUUCCCUAGUUACGUUUGAAAAGAAGUCAUUCCUCACUGGAGUGGGUUUUGUUUGUUUGUUUGUUUGUUUGUUUGUCUUUGUUUUUUUUAUUCAGCUUCAGCUUCAUUUUUCCUUCCAUCUACUUCCCGAAAUGAAAAGCGAGAUAAAAGGCAAACGACUGGUCCCUUGACGAAGGUGAUCUCAUCCCCCUCGAUAAGUACUACUGAGGAAGCUUGAGCCGGAAGGCCUAGCUCAAGUGUGCCACGAAUGUGGGCUUAAAGGGGGGCUUAUGUACCUUGUUCCUCCUCCUUGAUGUUCAAAGCUGUGCAGCCAUGGCUCUAUUGAUCAGCCAGAAACAUACAACAGACGAGAAGGCAUGCUUUUUAGCUCCCGGUAAUGUUCAUCCUUUACUUGUGUUUUUUUUUUUUUUUUUUUUUCCAAGAUCAGGCAAACAAAUUCAGCUUUGAUAAUUGGCUUAAUCCAGGCAGGCUGGCGCAUGAAUAUUAAACGGCUCGUUAUGAUCAGGGUCGAGACGCGUCGUCUUAUUAGAAGUCCUCGUUGGGAGAGCUCUCGGCGGUGUUAUUUUUCCGACAGCAGGGUUGGAGGUGGUGGGCUGGAUGGAGAAUGCUUAAUGUAGUGGACGGCACAAGCGUGACUCAGCAUAAUGCCGCGUCCUCAAGGAGCCUCUCCACAGAAACAACCACCAGCGCUCAAGAUCUCACCCCUUCUCACCUCCCCUCCUGCAUCCCCCAAGUGAUAGGGUCGAUCCUGGAUCAGAUCUACAUUUCUGCUUCGAGUGACGUUCGGGUAAAUCACGGAGCACAAACACUUGAGUGAUGAAAGCAGAAAAGAAGAUCGAGCAUGCUUUUCGUCCACGAAGAAAUGGCUCCUUCCUAAUCACGGGUGGUACCUGAUCAAUUCCUAAAAAACAAAAAAAAAAAACCCUGUGUGCUUUGCACUUGGAGAGCCACUUUGCAUCACUAUAUAUACACGUGUGUGUAUAUAUACUUUGAGUUGACCUCAAAGUCAAGGGCUGGCUAAUAUUUCCGCUCCGAAUGAACGAGCCUUUGAUCUCGGACCAUUGUGCUCAGCGUCCGUGACUUUUUACCACAGUGUAUCGAGAGGCUUCAAAGCGGAGAGGACGGAGGCUUCAGAAAAGUCCCAUAGCGGGUCCUGCGUUUCAAACCACAACGCCGGUCGGAGUAGAGGAGAAAAACAAAGAGGGAGAGAGUUAAAAGCAAAACCACUCCACGGAGAAAGAGA